Molecule: ribosomal RNA, 429 nt
Filed under: Chloroflexota bacterium
Lineage: Bacteria; Bacillati; Chloroflexota
Description: Chloroflexi bacterium partial 16S ribosomal RNA
Rfam family: Bacterial small subunit ribosomal RNA
Source: RNAcentral
UGGGGAAUAUUGCACAAUGGGCGCAAGCCUGAUGCAGCCAUGCCGCGUGUGUGAAGAAGGCCUUCGGGUUGUAAAGCACUUUCAGCGGGGAGGAAGGCGAUAAGGUUAAUAACCUUGUCGAUUGACGUUACCCGCAGAAGAAGCACCGGCUAACUCCGUGCCAGCAGCCGCGGUAAUACGGAGGGUGCAAGCGUUAAUCGGAAUUACUGGGCGAAAAGCGCACGCAGGCGGUCUGUCAAGUCGGAUGUGAAAUCCCCGGGCUUAACCUGGGAACUGCAUUCGAAACUGGCAGGCUAGAGUCUUGUAGAGGGGGGUAGAAUUCCAGGUGUAGCGGUGAAAUGCGUAGAGAUCUGGAGGAAUACCGGUGGCGAAGGCGGCCCCCUGGACAAAGACUGACGCUCAGGUGCGAAAGCGUGGGGAGCAAACAGG